AGCCGCAUAAAGUGGCGGACUUAUGCUGCACCACAGCGUACCGGAUAGAACCCGGAUAGGACUACUUUUAUAGGAGAAAACAAAUG
RNAcentral lists this non-coding RNA (86 nucleotides) under unclassified sequences. RNAcentral describes it as "freshwater-2 RNA". It matches the Rfam family "freshwater-2 RNA". From Rfam's summary of the family: Aquatic, esp. fresh water. The record is from RNAcentral.